UACGGAGGGUGCAAGCGUUGUCCGGAAUCACUGGGCGUAAAGGGCGCGUAGGCGGCUGAGUAAGUCACGUGUGAAACUCCGGGGCUCAACCCCGGAACUGCAUGUGGGACUGCUCGGCUAGAGCACGGUAGAGGCGAGUGGAAUUCCAGGUGUAGCGGUGGAAUGCGUAGAUAUCUGGAAGAACACCCGAGGCGAAGGCGGCUCGCUGGGCCGUUGCUGACGCUGAGGCGCGAAAGCGUGGGGAGCAAACAGG
RNAcentral lists this ribosomal RNA (253 nucleotides) under uncultured bacterium. RNAcentral's name for it is "partial 16S ribosomal RNA". It matches the Rfam family "Bacterial small subunit ribosomal RNA", at positions 524 to 776 of the family's 1533-position model. The record is from RNAcentral.